UUCCGGUUGAUCCCGCCGGACCUGACUGCUAUCGGAUUGAUACUAAGCCAUGCGAGUCUUUGUAGUAAUACAAGGCAGACGGCUCAGUAACACGUAGUCAACCUACCCUAUGGACGAGAAUAAUCUCGGGAAACUGAGCAUAAUUCUUGAUAGAUCAUAAUGCCUGGAAUGGUUUAUGGUUAAAAUGAUUCGUCGCCAUAGGAUGGGACUGCGGCCUAUCAGCUUGUUGGUGAGGUAAUGGCCCACCAAGGCGAUUACAGGUACGGGCUCUGAGAGGAGAAGCCCGGAGAUGGGUACUGAGACACGGACCCAGGCCCUAUGGGGCGCAGCAGGCGAGAAAACUUUGCAAUGUGCGAAAGCACGACAAGGUUAAUCCGAGUGAUUUCUGCUAAAGAAAUCUUUUGCCAGUCGUAAAACCGCUGGUGAAUAAGGGGUGGGCAAGUUCUGGUGCCAGCAGCCGCCGGUAAU
Molecule: ribosomal RNA, 468 nt
Filed under: uncultured archaeon
Lineage: Archaea
Description: bacterial SSU rRNA
Rfam family: Archaeal small subunit ribosomal RNA
Source: RNAcentral